UUAUGAACACGCCACGAGUGUCGUGCGCAGUUUGGCACUCAGCGUGAUGAAUAAAGAGUGGUAGAGCCACAGAGACACGCCUUCGUGUGCGCGUCAUCACUCAGCUCGUGUGUUUAGCCUCCAGCGGCUUGUUUUUGAAAUCCUUUAACAUCGAUCGGCCGCUGUCAAAGUCAACAAAAGUGUCUUUGAAGCGUGAAUUGUUUGGAAGCGUUUCAACAAGGAAGUGGGAGCGAGCGGAGUCAACGGAGAGACGCUGACGCACAGACCACGACUACGUUUCAUUCAUGCAUGAUUGUGUCCUGUCAAUCAAUGGAUAUGGGGGAUGAAUCCGCCACACUUUCACACACACAGGUGCUGAGCCUACGGUGGUGGAUUGGUGUCCUGGUCACGGUGUCCCCUUUGUAUUGUGUUUGCACUUGGUAGCUUCUUUGUUUUGUUUACUUUUAUUUGCUUCACGUGUGGUGUUCCUGGGAUCCCCUUUCCCUUUGGAUACAGUUUUUCACGGUAGGUCUCAGCACUGAUUGGCUCCCCUUAUGUCCCCUUAAGUGAGUAAUUUUUACAUUAUUUUUAAAACAGAAAUUUAUGUAAUUGUUGCCAGACAACGCCACCUUGGGAAUUUCACCCAGGGAUUUCUUAUAAGUGGACUAACCCAAAUGAAGGAAGGCACUGAGGUCUGUUAUGCAACGAGACAGACGACAGUUCGAUAAUACAAAAUACUUUUAUUUAUACAAAUUUCUGUUUUAAAAAUAAUGUAAAAAAUGACUCACUUAAGGGGAGCCAAUCAGUAAAAAAGUAAAAAACAAAGAAGCUACCAAGUGCAAACACAAUACAAAGGGGACACCGUGACCAGGACUUUGCCCCUGGAGAUGUUCGUCGGAGAUGAUUCUGCACCUCGCAACUCGUGGAUCACUGGGAGAGUUGUGCAAGCAGUUCCAGAUCAGAGAGGACUUGUGUGCCAGAUUUGUAUCAAAACAAGGACUGGGUUUUUGGAUAGACCCAUCACGAAGGUUUGUCUUCUUCAAGAGGCAGAAGAGCCAUGAAGACUUGCAGAUUUUGAAAGAACUGACGUACGUGGACUUUGACUAUUUUGUAGGUUGGAUUGAUUAUUUAGACUAUACAGUAGAUUUCCUGGUUGUUAGAAAUAUGAGAUGUUUUUCUUUUCUGACAUUUAGCAUUUUGUCUCCCACAUAUUAGCAGUUAUGUAAUUAUUGCUUCAGCAUAAUUAGGGGCUGGAAUGUAGGAGUCAUACAUUUUGUUUUGCUUUUGAAUAAAGUAAGACCUAAGUGUUGAGUUAAUGCUGGAAUUGGUGCACAUGGGUGAUGGAUGUGUCACUACCGCGAGUAUGUAGGAAUAAAUCACUGCUGUCCCCAGUUCACUGGUUGCUGGUUGUCAGUCAUGAUGUAGGGUGAGCACGGUGGAGCGGUGAAAUCUUUUGUUGUCCGCAUCAAUGCAUGUUUUGUUUGCUGUGUGUAUUAUUUCUCUCUUUGCUAACAAGCCACGAGUGUCGUGCAGAGUUUGGCGUGAUGAAUAAAGAGUGGUAGAGCCACAGAGACA
This is a long non-coding RNA of Solea solea (common sole), 1554 nucleotides long. RefSeq lists it as uncharacterized. Lineage: Eukaryota; Metazoa; Chordata; Actinopteri; Pleuronectiformes; Soleidae. The record is from RefSeq and is a predicted model, not a curated record. The transcript has 2 exons.